UCACCGGAUCAAGCCUGGCUUGCUGUUGGGCCCCUUGUCACUGGGUGACAGGUCCAAAAGACAAUGGCCGGUGUCAUACAGACUCCAUAUGCAACGAGCUUGUCACAGCACGCAUCUGGCAGUCGUGUGGCCCGGUCUGCGCCCCUUUCUUUCUCAA
RNAcentral lists this unclassified non-coding RNA (157 nucleotides) under uncultured Chaetothyriales. RNAcentral's name for it is "sequence contains ITS2". Lineage: Eukaryota; Fungi; Ascomycota; Eurotiomycetes; Chaetothyriales. The record is from RNAcentral.